This 497-nucleotide ribosomal RNA is filed under the name uncultured bacterium. Its description in RNAcentral is "partial 16S ribosomal RNA". It matches the Rfam family "Bacterial small subunit ribosomal RNA", at positions 28 to 507 of the family's 1533-position model. The record is from RNAcentral.
GACGAACGCUGGCGGCGUGCCUAAUACAUGCAAGUAGAACGCUGAAGAGAGGAGCUUGCUCUUCUUGGAUGAGUUGCGAACGGGUGAGUAACGCGUAGGUAACCUGCCUUGUAGCGGGGGAUAACUAUUGGAAACGAUAGCUAAUACCGCAUAACAAUGGAUGACACAUGUCAUUUAUUUGAAAGGGGCAAUUGCUCCACUACAAGAUGGACCUGCGUUGUAUUAGCUAGUAGGUGAGGUAACGGCUCACCUAGGCGACGAUACAUAGCCGACCUGAGAGGGUGAUCGGCCACACUGGGACUGAGACACGGCCCAGACUCCUACGGGAGGCAGCAGUAGGGAAUCUUCGGCAAUGGGGGCAACCCUGACCGAGCAACGCCGCGUGAGUGAAGAAGGUUUUCGGAUCGUAAAGCUCUGUUGUAAGUCAAGAAUGAGUGUGAGAGUGGAAAGUUCACACUGUGACGGUAGCUUACCAGAAAGGGACGGCUAACUACGUG